RNAcentral lists this ribosomal RNA (407 nucleotides) under uncultured bacterium. Its description in RNAcentral is "partial 16S ribosomal RNA". It matches the Rfam family "Bacterial small subunit ribosomal RNA", at positions 30 to 526 of the family's 1533-position model. The record is from RNAcentral.
AUUGAACGCUGGCGGCAGGCCUAACACAUGCAAGUCGAGCGGAGCGGCGGACGGGCGAGUAAUCCCUAGGCAUCUGCCUGGUAGUGCGUGAUCACGUCCGGAAACGGGCGCUAAUACCGCAUACUAUCAGAUGAGCCUAGCUCGGAUUAGCUAGUUGGUGGGGUAAAGGCCUACCAAGGCGACGAUCCGUAACUGGUCUGAGAGGAUGAUCAGUCACACUGGAACUGAGACACGGUCCAGACGCCUACGGGAGGCAGCAGUGGGGAAUAUUGGACAAUGGGCGAAAGCCUGAUCCAGCCAUGCCGCGGGUGUGAAGAAGGUCUUCGGAUUGUAAAGCACUUUAAGUUGGGAGGCGUUACCAACAGAAUAAGCACCGGCUAACUACGUGCCAGCAGCCGCGGUAAAUC